Molecule: non-coding RNA, 949 nt
Organism: Rattus norvegicus (Norway rat)
Lineage: Eukaryota; Metazoa; Chordata; Mammalia; Rodentia; Muridae
Source: RefSeq, a predicted model, not a curated record
UUUCCUGCUCUGAGUGUCACACGCUUACUUUCUCUGUGUCUUUGAGCAGGUGAUGCUCUCCCUUUGGACUCAGCUUGCCCCCUCUCCCACCAUGGGGAAGUUUUAGAAACCUCGUGCUAUUCCAGAAAACAACCUAGCUGACCACUUUGAUGUGCUGCGGACAAAACCCCAGACUUGACAUGUGCUAGACAAGUGCUCUACCCCUGAGCUACACUCCAGCUAAAAGAUCUUAUAUUCCCCUCUGUUGUACUUUUUCAACAAAGCCAUGGCUCCUGCUGAAGAUUACCAGGUAUAAGAUCUUGCAGCGUUAUGAACUUUCGACUGAGCUCAGUGAUCUCCUCCUGCUGCUGGCAGCACCCCCACCAUUACUUAGCACUGAGACAGGAGUCUUGCAUUGCUGUCCUCUGAGUGGAUCCACCUAGCAGCUGACUCUGACAGAUGUAGACACCCACAGCCAAACAGUGGAUGGAGCUUAAAGACUCUUAUAAAAGAAUAAGAGGAAGAAUCACAGCCCUGAAGGAUAGGAACUCUACAGGAAGAUCAACAGAAUCAACUAAACUGGACCCUUAAAACUCUCAGAGACUGAACCACCAACCAAAGAACAUACAUGGAAUGGACCUAGGCCUCCCCUCACACAUGUACCAGCUUGAUCUUCAUGUAGGUUCCCAACAAUCGGAGCAGUGGCCAUCCAAAAAGCUGUUGCCUGCACAUGGGAUAUGUUCCUCUAGGUGGGCUGCUCCAGGCUUGUCUGGCUGCAGUAGGAGAGGAUGAGCCUAACCUUGCAGAGACUUGAUAUGCGGGGUUUGGGGGGAUACCCAGGGGAGCCCCCACCCACUCAGAGAGGGUAUGGGGAAAGCAAUUUUGGUAGAGGGUGACUGGGAAUGGGGCAGUGAGAAGGAUGUAAAGAAAAUAAGGGAAAAAUAAAAUGAAAUAAAUAUAAAGGGGAAAA